ACACCAUAAAGAGAAGGCGAGAGACAAGCUCUAUGACCCUUCAGCAACCUGCAUAAUGUAAGGUGCUAAUGCUUGAUAGAUGGCUCUAUAUGAAAU
This 96-nucleotide non-coding RNA is filed under the name Acholeplasma oculi. Its description in RNAcentral is "SAM-I sequence". It matches the Rfam family "SAM riboswitch aptamer (S box leader)". From Rfam's summary of the family: The SAM riboswitch is found upstream of a number of genes which code for proteins involved in methionine or cysteine biosynthesis in Gram-positive bacteria. The SAM riboswitch acts at the level of transcription termination control. The record is from Rfam by way of RNAcentral. Lineage: Bacteria; Bacillati; Mycoplasmatota; Mollicutes; Acholeplasmatales; Acholeplasmataceae.